CCUACGGGAGGCAGCAGUGGGGAAUUUUCCGCAAUGGGCGAAAGCCUGACGGAGCAAUACCGCGUGAGGGAGGAAGGCUCUUGGGUCGUAAACCUCUUUUCUCAGGGAAGAAGAAAGUGACGGUACCUGAGGAAUAAGCAUCGGCUAACUCCGUGCCAGCAGCCGCGGUAAUACGGAGGAUGCAAGCGUUAUCCGGAAUGAUUGGGCGUAAAGGGUCCGCAGGUGGCUGUGUAAGUCUGCUGUUAAAGAGUCAUGCUUAACAUGAUAAGAGCAGUGGAAACUACAUAGCUAGAGUACGUUCGGGGCAGAGGGAAUUCCUGGUGUAGCGGUGAAAUGCGUAGAUAUCAGGAAGAACACCGGUGGCGAAAGCGCUCUGCUAGGCCGUAACUGACACUGAGGGACGAAAGCUAGGGGAGCGAAUGGGAUUAGAUACCCCAGUAGUCCUAGCCGUAAACGAUGGAUACUAGGCGUGGCUUGUAUCGACCCGAGCCGUGCCGUAGCUACGCGUUAAGUACUCCCGCGUGGGAGUACGCGACGCAGUAGUAGAACUACAANAGAGUAGACGCGUGAGACGUCGCCGACGACGACGACGAGGGAGAGG
This 601-nucleotide ribosomal RNA is filed under the name uncultured bacterium. Its description in RNAcentral is "bacterial SSU rRNA". The stretch from base 1 to 522 matches the Rfam family "Bacterial small subunit ribosomal RNA", at positions 338 to 873 of the family's 1533-position model. The record is from RNAcentral.